GACGAACGCUGGCGGCGUGCUUACCACGUGCAAUUCGAACGGAAAGUCCCUGCUUUUUUUGUGUUCUCUAGUGUCUAACGUGUGUGUAACACUUUUUUAACCUGCCCUUCACUUUUUUAUAACUUCAUGAAACUUUGUCUAAUACCGGAUAGGAUCUCCUGCUUCAUUGUUUUUUUUGUUAAUUUUCGGCGGUUGGUGAUGGACUCGCUGCUUAUCAGCUUGUUGGUGGGGUAGUGGCUUACCAAGGCUUUGACGGGUAGCCGGCCUGAGAGGGUGAACGGCCACAUUGGGACUGAGAUACGGCACAGACGCGUACGGGAGGAAGCAGUGGGGAAUAUUGCAAAAUGGGAGGAAGCAUGAAGCAGCAAAGCGGCGGGCGGGAUGACGGCAUUCGGGUUGUAAACCGAUUUCGCAUGUGACGAAGCGUGAGUGACGGUAAUGGGUAAAGAAGCAACGGCUAACUACGUG
This 468-nucleotide ribosomal RNA is filed under the name uncultured bacterium. RNAcentral describes it as "partial 16S ribosomal RNA". It matches the Rfam family "Bacterial small subunit ribosomal RNA", at positions 28 to 507 of the family's 1533-position model. The record is from RNAcentral.